RNAcentral lists this long non-coding RNA (297 nucleotides) under Linum usitatissimum (flax). Its description in RNAcentral is "long non-coding RNA (LUSI_LNC003945)". Lineage: Eukaryota; Viridiplantae; Streptophyta; Magnoliopsida; Malpighiales; Linaceae. The record is from RNAcentral.
CCCAAACUCUAUCCGUCGAUCUCGUCAGCCCUCGUCCACCUUCGAUUUGUCGACGCCGCUGUAGGAAUCUCCUUCUACUUCCUCUUAUUCAUUGUUGCUCUCCUUCACCGCUGUCACUGCCAACGAAUCUGACAUCGUUGCUCUAUCACAAUGGGAGAUCGAGGAGCAGGAGGAGAAGAAGAAGCCGGAGACGAAAAUCUCCGUCAGACGACCGACCCACCAGCGGCUCGCGAAGAGGAGUUACGUAGUCAGACUAAGAGGCGCCAUAGAAGGAGGGGAGUUGCUGAACGACAUCAG